RNAcentral lists this unclassified non-coding RNA (417 nucleotides) under Hevea brasiliensis (rubber tree). Lineage: Eukaryota; Viridiplantae; Streptophyta; Magnoliopsida; Malpighiales; Euphorbiaceae. The record is from RNAcentral.
UUAUUUUAAAUGUUGUUGAAAAAAAAAAGCAACUUGAAAAAAGUUAUUUAGUUAUUUUAGAAUUCUUAUAAUUAAAACAAGUCAAAUUUGACUUUAAAUAAAUUUCUAAUGCCCUCUAACAAACAUAAUAGUUUCUCUAGAGAGAAUGAAUUCGAAUGAUUAUGAAUUCAAAUGAUUGAUGCAGAAACAAUAUGCACGGCCAGUUGAAAGUGCCCAUUAAUGUAUGUCAUUACAUAACUAUGGUGUGCAACGGAAGUACAGAACCAUGGUACAUCAGAUGUGAUCAGGAAAACAACUAUGUGUCCGAUUAGCAUUGUGGUUGGACAGCCAAAACUAAUUUUCAGGGAAAACAAAUUGCACCAUUUUAGAUGCUACUAAAAAAAACAAUUUAGAAAAAAUUGUUUUAUUAUUUUAAUG